Molecule: ribosomal RNA, 478 nt
Filed under: uncultured bacterium
Lineage: Bacteria
Description: partial 16S ribosomal RNA
Rfam family: Bacterial small subunit ribosomal RNA
Source: RNAcentral
GACGAACGCUGGCGGCGUGCUUAACACAUGCAAGUCGAACGGUAAGGCCCUUCGGGGUACACGAGUGGCGAACGGGUGAGUAACACGUGGGUGAUCUGCCCUGCACUUCGGGAUAAGCCUGGGAAACUGGGUCUAAUACCGGAUAGGACCAUUGCCUGCAUGGGUGGUGGUGGAAAGCCUUUGCGGUGUGGGAUGGGCCCGCGGCCUAUCAGCUUGUUGGUGGGGUGAUGUCCUACCAAGGCGACGACGGGUAGCCCGCCUGAGAGGGUGACCGGCCACACUGGGACUGAGAUACGGCCCAGACGCCUACGGGAGGCAGCAGUGGGGAAUAUUGCACAAUGGGCGCAAGCCUGAUGCAGCGACGCCGCGUGAGGGAUGACGGCCUUCGGGUUGUAAACCUCUUUCAGCACCGACGAAGCGCAAGUGACGGUAGGUGCAGAAGAAGGACCGGCCAACUACGUGCCAGCAGCCGCCGUAA